Long non-coding RNA from Anguilla rostrata (American eel), 3585 nucleotides. RefSeq lists it as uncharacterized. Lineage: Eukaryota; Metazoa; Chordata; Actinopteri; Anguilliformes; Anguillidae. The transcript has 3 exons. The record is from RefSeq and is a predicted model, not a curated record.
GUUUUGCGCUGAGACAUCAGGUCCCCCAGCAUGAUCUCAACGUAUGGAAAGCUGGACCCUGCCGAGGGCCUCUGUGUACGAGUGGACUGCACUUCCUUCAGCGGGAACUUCACCAUAAGCUCCUAAGGAACCCAGAGGAGAUUUGCAAAGACUGCCAGUCAGCAGCCAAUAAGUUUGACUCACAUGGGUGUCUUUAUUGAGGAAAUUCAGUCCAUUCUGAUUGAUAGCCAGUAAACAAGGGGCCACAAUAGAGCUGUUGCUGCUGCUCUGGAUGUAGAAGAAGGAGGAGCCAAACAUGGGGAAGGCACUGACCAGCCCUAAGGAUGACAAAGCACAGACUAUUACAGGUAAUUACAGAAACAUGUAUAAGACUGCUCCUAACACUGAAUGUGACUAUUAUGCACAAAUGUGGGAAAAGGCUAUGAAAAAAUAAAUGAUCCUUAGAAAGAUAUCAUGUCAGUGCAUUGGAGACCACUAUCUACUGUGCUGACUGGAAUACCUUUUUCCAUUACCAAGAUUUCCUCAUCGACUUUGAAUAAAAUAGAAUGAAAUUAAAGCAGGCUAUUGCACCAGCUUUUCCCACUUUCCACAAUGGAACAUUUGUUGCUUAUGAAUAUUUAGCCUGAGAGAAUGGACCAUAUUAUCUGUUGAGAGUGAGGAGCUAAUGCUGUGCUUUACCCAGGAACUGUGCUCUGGCUUGGUGAGGGCUCAGGGCCUGAACCUGCUGCAUGUGCUGUGUCACCAUGUUCAACCACUGCUGUGGCCGCUGCUGCCCAUACAGCUGAGGAGGGAUGCAGUCCUGAGCCUCGCGCCUGAGACACACACACACACACACACAGAGCAUAACGCUUCCUGCAGGAGACCGCCUUCGUUCGCACCCAAUCAGCAACAUACAUAAGCUUUCUUCAACUUUAAACAGAACAACUUUAAACAGCCAUUUUUGUGGCGUUUCAAUGAACGCAAUGUGAUUAAUUCAGCGGGUUUAAUGUUUUCAAUGAAUACCAUGUUAUGGAUUUAAUGUUGAGUUCACUUGCUACAGCUUACAACAUAUUUUGAACUUGAAACACAGUCUUUUUAGAGACGUAAUUGGUAGACCCAUGGGCACAGAUUGACUGCACAAUGUGACAGAAAGUACAAUGGCUCAGCAGACGCACAUGGUAGGGAGGUAAAUGCUGUCCUUGGCGCGGUGUUGUAAGGCAGCCAGCUUGGAGACCUGCUGUAACAGCUGCUCGCUGACCUUCCCCUGGGGGAGAACGUUGAGCAGGGCCUUCAGGUAGUCUGGAAGCACCUGUAGAGGUGAUACAUAUGGAUGUUACACUCAUAGAAGCUCACAUUGACUGAUGGCCCUGAGACAGCUGAGCAAGACACUGGCUUAAAAAGAGGGAAAGGACUACCUGCUUGUUGACAUAUGUACCUUACUGAUGCUUGAGAUAAGUCACUUAACAGAGUUGUAUGUCCAACCCCAGGCAUAUUUUUCAACAAAAAAAAAAUUCCUCAUAAUAUUAUGUUGUAAUUAAGCACAAUCAAACUAUUUUUGGGUCUUGCUUCUACUACUGCUUCAAACACACCAGGCAUUCUAGCACCUACAUAAGUGACUGUACCUGAUUGUAAUGCACAGUGACGCAGAGCUCAUUGUCAAACUUUAACGGUUGGGACCAGAUCACCCUUCUGAACCAGAAGCUGUAGUUACUGUCGAUUUGUUCAGCCUCUGUGGCAAUAUCCAGGAUGUACUCCCUCUUGUUUAGUGGGCGGACAUUCUGACCUUGAGAAAUAAACAAAUAACAGUUUAAUGGUGAGAAUUAAGUUGCUUGUUUAGUUUUCCUUUUCCCCUUUCCUCAGCCUAAAAAUUGGGAAACUAGCUAAUUCUUUAGAUUCUUUAGGAAAUAACUGAUUACUCUCAACCUGUAUCUCUUCACAGAGGAAUUCUGCUGGAAAUACAUUAGUCAAUUAUUGACCACCGCUAUGAGAAACAUGCAGUCUCACAUUGGCUCUUACCUCUGGUUGUGACCACAAAAAUGGCAUAUUCAUCCAUGGCUUCAAGCCUUUGCAGGGCCAUCUCGUAACACAGCUCCUCAAUGACAUCAAGAGCAAUCUGAACACACAUAUCAGAAGCACAUUACAGUACCCCAACAUGAAAGGUGACGCUCAAUUCCUCCCGGGAGAAGGAACAGCUGCCGCUUGGAGCUUCGGCCAGCCUAAGGGAAGCAGGACCACACUGCUGGUUAUCCACAGAUCACUGAACAGUACAGCACUGAGGACUCCGUUAAUCUCAAGAGUGCACUGACCAUCAUGGCCUUCAGCUCCAUACUGUUGGGGAAUACGCUCCGCCCACCGUACUGAAAGGUCUUCCUCAGGUUCUGUUCGCAGGCUUUAGCAAUGCCUGCCAACAUAAUCCAUGUGUCAAUAAAAAGGCCCCUCGAAGCUGAUCUAUGAAAGACUACCAUAUACUUGCAAUUAUAAUUUAAAGUGCAUAUUGAAUCAGUGCUCUAUAUUAACUUGGAGUCUCUCUGCAAAAAGACAAUAAUGAAUAUACCAACCAUACAUACAUAGUGUAUGACCCUUGCAAGGGAUUUUUAUGAUUGCUAGGUAUGUCCAACUGAGUAACCAUAGUUUUUGUUCCUCAGGGUGCCAUUGUCCAUCCUUUAAGACCUUAUAAUUGUGGUGUGUGUACACCUGUUCUGCUGCUAUUGCAUUUCUCAUGUGUUAAACAGAUAGUAAACAGGUCUGGAUCUGAGGGUGACAGUUGAGCCAUAUACCUUGGAAGAGUACUCCUGGGCUCCUGCAGACAUCCUGCAGGUACUUGAACACGAAGGGCUUCAGCACCUCAGAGCAGCGGUAAUAUGCAGUGAGAAUAUACAGCAGCCUCCAGCCCCUCUGGCAGCUGUCUCUGCAAACAAUGGGAAUAUGGAACAAUCAGGGAACCAGAACCUUCCUGGAGCCCCUUAAAGAUCUGACAGUUUGAGUCAGAAAUCUGUACGGGAUGUAUCCCAUCUUACGCUUUUGAGCUGGUGUUGGCGGUAAUCUGCUUAAGGACCUGGCAGUAAGCCUCAUCCUUCAUCAGUCCAUAUUCUCCAAUGAGCUGUGGAAAGGGUAUUGGUAAUCACCAAUGAAAUAAUACAUGACAGCGCAAAAUAAUAGCCUACACAACAUAUUUAUAGGGCAAAGCAGAACAUUUUAUCAUGUUCAUUCAAAGACACACAUUUCAAAAUGCAUUUUCUGGAUCUGCAUUGCCCAUGUCAGAGAAGAGAUUAGCUUUGUACCUUCAGAAAUGUGCAGACGGCAUCUUGCUCUGUCUGGCCUCUGAGAGGAGAGUCUCCCAUGAACCUCAUCACAGCUGUAAUGGAGCAGAGACUGAGAGAUGAGAGCACUGGGAGCACCAUGACAUAUGCAUCAUUGCACUUCUGUAAACACCAAGAUUAGGAAGGGCAACUUUGAAAGCAAGCAAGGCUUUAAUUUUGGCUGUGUUUAGAAUACCAAGGGAAAAUUAGCGUCUCUAGGCCAUGAUCCCAAAUAUUGUUAUGGUUUCUUCACAUUGACUAAUUGUACACUGUCAGGUUUAAAUUAAAGUUGAUGCUAAACUUGCAA